AUUGAACGCUGGCGGCAGGCCUAACACAUGCAAGUCGAGCGGAUGAAGGGAGCUUGCUCCUGGAUUCAGCGGCGGACGGGUGAGUAAUGCCUAGGAAUCUGCCUGGUAGUGGGGGAUAACGUCCGGAAACGGGCGCUAAUACCGCAUACGUCCUGAGGGUGAAAGAGGGGGAUCUUCGGACCUCACGCUCUCAGAUGAGCCUAGGUCGGAUUAGCUAGUUGGUGGGGUAAAGGCCUACCAAGGCGACGAUCCGUAACUGGUCUGAGAGGAUGAUCAGUCACACUGGAACUGAGACACGGUCCAGGCUCCUACGGGAGGCAGCAGUGGGGAAUAUUGGACAAUGGGCGAAAGCCUGAUCCAGCCAUGCCGCGUGUGUGAAGAAGGUCUUCGGAUUGUAAAGCACUUUAAGUUGGGAGGAAGGGCAGUAAGUUAAUACCUUGCUGUUUUGACGUUACCAACAGAAUAAGCACCGGCUAACUUCGUG
Molecule: ribosomal RNA, 484 nt
Filed under: uncultured bacterium
Lineage: Bacteria
Description: partial 16S ribosomal RNA
Rfam family: Bacterial small subunit ribosomal RNA
Source: RNAcentral